GGGUCCGUAGGCGGAUUAAUAAGUCAGUGGUGAAAUCCCAUCGCUUAACGAUGGAACUGCCAUUGAUACUGUUAGUCUUGAAUGAGGGUGCAGUGGUUGGAAUGUGUAGUGUAGCGGUGAAAUGCAUAGAUAUUACACAGAACACCGAUUGCGAAGGCAGAUCACUAACCCUAAAUUGACGCUGAGGGACGAAAGCGUGGGGAGCGAACAGGAUUAGAUACCCUCGGUAG
RNAcentral lists this ribosomal RNA (230 nucleotides) under uncultured bacterium. RNAcentral's name for it is "partial 16S ribosomal RNA". It matches the Rfam family "Bacterial small subunit ribosomal RNA", at positions 565 to 793 of the family's 1533-position model. The record is from RNAcentral.